GACGAACGCUGGCGGCGUGCUUAACACAUGCAAGUCGAACGGAAAGGCCUGUGCUUGCACGGGUACUCGAGUGGCGAACGGGUGAGUAACACGUGGGUGAUCUGCCCUUCACUUCGGGAUAAGCCUGGGAAACUGGGUCUAAUACUGGAUAGGACCAUCGUUUAGUGUCGGUGGUGGAAAGUUUUUCGGUGGAGGAUGAGCUCGCGGCCUAUCAGCUUGUUGGUGGGGUAAUGGCCUACCAAGGCGACGACGGGUAGCCGGCCUGAGAGGGUGGACGGCCACAUUGGGACUGAGACACGGCCCAGACUCCUACGGGAGGCAGCAGUGGGGAAUCUUGCACAAUGGGCGGAAGCCUGAUGCAGCGACGCCGCGUGAGGGAUGACGGCCUUCGGGUUGUAAACCUCUUUCGCUAGGGAAGAAGCCGCUUUGUGGUGGUGACGGACCUGAUAAGAAGCACCGCA
This 461-nucleotide ribosomal RNA is filed under the name Corynebacterium urealyticum. RNAcentral describes it as "bacterial SSU rRNA". It matches the Rfam family "Bacterial small subunit ribosomal RNA", at positions 28 to 497 of the family's 1533-position model. The record is from RNAcentral. Lineage: Bacteria; Bacillati; Actinomycetota; Actinomycetes; Mycobacteriales; Corynebacteriaceae.